GACGAACGCUGGCGGCGUGCUUAACACAUGCAAGUCGAACGGAAAGGCCCUGCUUUUGUGGGGUGCUCGAGUGGCGAACGGGUGAGUAACACGUGAGUAACCUGCCCUUGACUUUGGGAUAACUUCAGGAAACUGGGGCUAAUACCGGAUAGGAGCUCCUGCUGCAUGGUGGGGGUUGGAAAGUUUCGGCGGUUGGGGAUGGACUCGCGGCUUAUCAGCUUGUUGGUGGGGUAGUGGCUUACCAAGGCUUUGACGAGUAGCCGGCCUGAGAGAGUGACCGGCCACAUUGGGACUGAGAUACGGCCCAGACUCCUACGGGGGGCAGCAGUGGGGAAUAUUGCACAAUGGGCGGAAGCCUGAUGCAGCAACGCCGCGUGCGGGAUGACGGCCUUCGGGUUGUAAACCGCUUUCGCCUGUGACGAAGCGUGAGUGACGGUAAUGGGUAAAGAAGCACCGGCUAACUACGUG
RNAcentral lists this ribosomal RNA (468 nucleotides) under uncultured bacterium. Its description in RNAcentral is "partial 16S ribosomal RNA". It matches the Rfam family "Bacterial small subunit ribosomal RNA", at positions 28 to 507 of the family's 1533-position model. The record is from RNAcentral.